UACGGGGGGGGCAAGCGUUGUUCGGAAUUACCGGGCGUAAAGGGCUCGUAGGCGGCCAACUAAGUCAGACGUGAAAUCCCUCGGCUUAACCGGGGAACUGCGUCUGAUACUGGAUGGCUUGAGUUUGGGAGAGGGAUGCGGAAUUCCAGGUGUAGCGGUGAAAUGCGUAGAGAUCGUAAGGAAGACCAGUGGACGAAGGCGAGUUUCUGGACAGUUACUGACGCUGAGGCACGAAGGCCAGGGGAGCAAACGGGGAU
Molecule: ribosomal RNA, 257 nt
Filed under: uncultured bacterium
Lineage: Bacteria
Description: partial 16S ribosomal RNA
Rfam family: Bacterial small subunit ribosomal RNA
Source: RNAcentral